This is a long non-coding RNA of Falco peregrinus (peregrine falcon), 1721 nucleotides long. RefSeq lists it as uncharacterized. The transcript is spliced from 2 exons. Lineage: Eukaryota; Metazoa; Chordata; Aves; Falconiformes; Falconidae. The record is from RefSeq and is a predicted model, not a curated record.
CGGGAAGGCGGGUGGGGAUAGUCGGUGUCCGCUCCGUGCCGCAUAGGAGUAUUAACAGCUUGCUUUACUUGCUAAGUGUGGGAUCUGGUAGUGAAAAGCAAUAGAGAUCCUUGCUUCAGUCAGGUGAAAUAUUUUCAGCAGAGUUCAGGGAAGCAUUAAGCUGUUUGUUGAAGUCUAGAAGGAUUUCAUUUGGGAUUAUGUCACCUAAGCUCAAGAAAGGCAAUGAGGUAUGUAUUUCACUUUGCCUAAGAUAGUAAAUUUAGAUUUGGUGAUCCAAGUGGUCUGUACCAGGCUUACUUCCUCUUUUUUCGGUGUUCCCCAUAAUCCACUGUAAAAACUGGAAAUGGAGAUUUUUCACAAGUGUGCCCUUUCUUUUAUUCUAGCAACUGUGUCUUUCAGAAGCCUUGCCUAGAAGAAGUCUUCCUGAUUAACAACUCACUGAGUGUAGGAGAGAAGAUGUGACAGGAUGCAGGCGAGAGCUCCUUAGGAGAUUGGUAAACAUAAGUUCACGGGAGUUAUUCCAAAUAUGAAUAUGCUGAUAUUACCUGGUCCUGCCACAGCUUACUUUCGCUGGUUUUGAGUAGGCAUUAAAAUGUUUUCUGUUACCAUCAGACCUGCUGUAGUUAGUGGAGAAGCAAGUUUCUGGAGUAGUUCUAUACGCCCACACUGCACAUACUCCACCAAGGCAGUAAGUGGUGACAAGGAGUUGCUGCAAAGUGAAGAAACAGACCCAUGAUUUUACAGGGCCUCUGUGUUUGGAUUUGAACUUGGCUCUCUUUGCUCUUUCUGACUUACACUCGUGCAUGAUCAGGGUCUGUAAAUAUGAUUUAAUGUUUCUUAAACGGUUUGCAAGCAUAAUCUCCUUUGAGCUCAUCUGUUGUCACGCAGCAUCCUUCACCUUUGUGUUUAAUUGCUGUCUGUGAGUGCUUGCUGUAGUGAUUCACAGUUUCUCCAGGAACUAGGUAUGAGAACUCUCAGUAUUAGUGAGCAGUUCCUAGCAUUACAGGAGUUUCCUAUUUCCUUGUGAGAGGCCCCUCUUCCCCUCUGUGAACUCUCCCUUUGUUACAGAUUUGCUAAUAAGUUAAGAUUGAUUGACUUUAUUUGAUUGAUUAUUUGAUUUUAUAAAAUAAUUUUAUAAAAUAGAAAUAUAGAAGGAUAAGAAAUAUAUUUUAAUGAAACUCAUAGUUAUAUAGUAAAAGCUGCUAUGAGAUCCUCUGUACAUCCCGUACCAAGGCCAGAAGAAUGGGCUAGAACCAUUGUUAAAACUUAGGUAAUAACUUUAGGGUUUGAAAGGUUUUUUUGUAGUUAACUAGUCUUUCGUAUGUAGAAAGUGUAUUGAAAUGUCAGAAUAUAGGAUUAAUGGGAACUGGGGAGAGUCGACUGGAACAGCUUGUGGUUACCUGCCAAGAAACCGUGAACUUUAGUAAAAGGUAAUUCCAGCAGGGGGAGAUCGCGACCACCGACUCAUAUACCACCUACCCAAAUCGUACCCCAGACCCAUUUCUGGACCUUUCUAAGCUCUACUGCGCAGAAUCGGAUAUGGGAGGAGAAUAUGUUAAUGAUUUAUGGGAAAUAUUAUGAUUAUGCAUGAAUACUUAAUGAAUAUGUAUGAAUAAGUUCUAUAUAUGGUGUAUGAUUCUGAAACUUGGUGUGCAUUGAUCGUGAGAGGACUCGCUCACGCACCCGGCCGUCAAUAAAGAAGUGUCUGCUUAUCUACAUCA